Molecule: transfer RNA, 87 nt
Filed under: Bacteroidota bacterium
Lineage: Bacteria; Pseudomonadati; Bacteroidota
Also listed under: 1 other name
Description: Bacteroidetes bacterium tRNA-Ser
Rfam family: tRNA
About the family: Transfer RNA (tRNA) molecules are approximately 80 nucleotides in length.
Source: RNAcentral
GGAGAGGUGGCAGAGUGGUUGAAUGCGGCAGUCUCGAAAACUGUUGUAGCGGUAACGCUAUCGAGGGUUCGAAUCCCUCCUUCUCCG